UGAGGAAUAUUGGGCAAUGGAGGCAACUCUGACCCAGCCAUGCCGCGUGCAGGAAGACGGUCCUAUGGAUUGUAAACUGCUUUUAUACGGGAAGAAACAUCACUACGAGUAGUGACUUGACGGUACCGUAAGAAUAAGGAUCGGCUAACUCCGUGCCAGCAGCCGCGGUAAUACGGAGGAUCCAAGCGUUAUCCGGAAUCAUUGGGUUUAAAGGGUCCGUAGGCGGGUUUAUAAGUCAGUGGUGAAAUCCGGCAGCUUAACUGUCGAACUGCCAUUGAUACUGUAGAUCUUGAAUAUUUGUGAAGUAGCUAGAAUAUGUAGUGUAGCGGUGAAAUGCUUAGAUAUUACAUGGAAUACCGAUUGCGAAGGCAGGUUACUAACAAAUUAUUGACGCUGAGGGACGAAAGCGUGGGUAGCGAACAGGAUUAGAUACCCUGGUAGUCCACGCUGUAAACGAUGGAUACUAGCUGUUGGUUGUACAUUGGUACGAUCAGUGGCUAAGCGAAAGUGAUAAGUUCCCACCUGGGAGA
This 530-nucleotide ribosomal RNA is filed under the name uncultured bacterium. Its description in RNAcentral is "bacterial SSU rRNA". It matches the Rfam family "Bacterial small subunit ribosomal RNA", at positions 355 to 880 of the family's 1533-position model. The record is from RNAcentral.